CAUGCAGUCGAGCGGUAGAGAGAAGCUUGCUUCUCUUGAGAGCGGCGGACGGGUGAGUAAUGCCUAGGAAUCUGCCUGGUAGUGGGGGAUAACGCUCGGAAACGGACGCUAAUACCGCAUACGUCCUACGGGAGAAAGCAGGGGACCUUCGGGCCUUGCGCUAUCAGAUGAGCCUAGGUCGGAUUAGCUAGUUGGUGAGGUAAUGGCUCACCAAGGCGACGAUCCGUAACUGGUCUGAGAGGAUGAUCAGUCACACUGGAACUGAGACACGGUCCAGACUCCUACGGGAGGCAGCAGUGGGGAAUAUUGGACAAUGGGCGAAAGCCUGAUCCAGCCAUGCCGCGUGUGUGAAGAAGGUCUUCGGAUUGUAAAGCACUUUAAGUUGGGAGGAAGGGCAUUAACCUAAUACGUUGGUG
This 416-nucleotide ribosomal RNA is filed under the name Pseudomonas sp. UA-G059. RNAcentral's name for it is "bacterial SSU rRNA". It matches the Rfam family "Bacterial small subunit ribosomal RNA", at positions 54 to 474 of the family's 1533-position model. The record is from RNAcentral. Lineage: Bacteria; Pseudomonadati; Pseudomonadota; Gammaproteobacteria; Pseudomonadales; Pseudomonadaceae.